CCUACGGGAGGCAGCAGUGAGGAAUAUUGGUCAAUGGGCGCGAGCCUGAACCAGCCAAGUCGCGUGAGGGAAGACGGUCCUAUGGAUUGUAAACCUCUUUUGUCGGGGAGCAAAAGACGCCACGCGUGGCGUUCCGAGAGUACCCGAAGAAAAAGCAUCGGCUAACUUGGUGCCAGCAGCCGCGGUAAUACGGAGGAUGCGAGCGUUAUCCGGAUUUAUUGGGUUUAAAGGGUGCGCAGGCGGAAGAUCAAGUCAGCGGUAAAAUUGAGAGGCUCAACCUCUUCGAGCCGUUGAAACUGGUUUUCUUGAGUGAGUGAGAAGUAUGCGGAAUGCGAGGUGUAGCGGUGAAAUGCGUAGAUAUCACGAAGAACUCCGAUUGCGAAGGCAGCAUACCGGCGCUCAACUGACGCUCAUGCACGAAAGUGUGGGUAGCGAACAGGAUUAGAUACCCGGGUAGUC
This 459-nucleotide ribosomal RNA is filed under the name uncultured bacterium. Its description in RNAcentral is "partial 16S ribosomal RNA". It matches the Rfam family "Bacterial small subunit ribosomal RNA", at positions 338 to 795 of the family's 1533-position model. The record is from RNAcentral.